RNAcentral lists this ribosomal RNA (484 nucleotides) under uncultured bacterium. RNAcentral's name for it is "partial 16S ribosomal RNA". It matches the Rfam family "Bacterial small subunit ribosomal RNA", at positions 28 to 507 of the family's 1533-position model. The record is from RNAcentral.
AUUGAACGCUGGCGGCAUGCUUUACACAUGCAAGUCGAACGGCAGCGCGGGCUUCGGCCUGGCGGCGAGUGGCGAACGGGUGAGUAAUACAUCGGAACGUGCCCAGUUGUGGGGGAUAGCUCGGCGAAAGCCGGAUUAAUACCGCAUACGACCUGCGGGUGAAAGCGGGGGAUCUUCGGACCUCGCGCUCUUGGAGCGUCCGAUGGCGGAUUAGCUAGUUGGUGGGGUAAAGGCCUACUAAGGCGACGAUCUGUAGCUGGUCUGAGAGGACGACCAGCCACACUGGGAGUGAGACACGGCCCAGGCGCAUACGGGAGGCAGCAGUGGGGAAUUUUGGACAAUGGGCGAAAGCCUGAUCCAGCAAUGCCGCGUGUGUGAUGGAGGCCUUCGGGUUGUAAAGCAGUUGUGGCGGGAACGAAAAGGAUUGUGCCAAUACCACGGUUCGAUGACGGUACCCGCAAAAUAAGCACCGGCUAACUACGUG